This 492-nucleotide ribosomal RNA is filed under the name uncultured bacterium. Its description in RNAcentral is "partial 16S ribosomal RNA". It matches the Rfam family "Bacterial small subunit ribosomal RNA", at positions 28 to 507 of the family's 1533-position model. The record is from RNAcentral.
GGUGAACGCUGGCGGUAGGCCUAAUACAUGCAAGUCGAACGGCAGCACAGUAAGAGCUUGCUCUUACGGGUGGCGAGUGGCGGGCGGGUGAGGAAUACAUCGGAAUCUACUUUUUCGUGGGGGAUAACGUAGGGAAACUUACGCUAAUACCGCAUACGACCUACGGGUGAAAGCAGGGGAUCUUCGGACCUUGCGCGAUUGAAUGAGCCGAUGUCGGAUUAGCUAGUUGGCGGGGUAAAGGCCCACCAAGGCGACGAUCCGUAGCUGGUCUGAGAGGAUGAUCAGCCACACUGGAACUGAGACACGGUCCAGACUCCUACGGGAGGCAGCAGUGGGGAAUAUUGGACAAUGGGCGCAAGCCUGAUCCAGCCAUACCGCGUGGGUGAAGAAGGCCUUCGGGUUGUAAAGCCCUUUUGUUGGGAAAGAAAAGCAGCAGGUUAAUACCCCGCUGUUCUGACGGUACCCAAAGAAUAAGCACCGGCUAACUUCGUG